CCUACGGGAGGCAGCAGUGAGGAAUAUUGGUCAAUGGACGGAAGUCUGAACCAGCCAUGCCGCGUGCAGGAAGACUGCUCUAUGAGUUGUAAACUGCUUUUAUACAAGAGUAAAACUGAAUACGUGUAUUCAGCUGAAUGUACUGUAUGAAUAAGGAUCGGCUAACUCCGUGCCAGCAGCCGCGGUAAUACGGAGGAUCCGAGCGUUAUCCGGAUUUAUUGGGUUUAAAGGGUGCGUAGGCGGAUUGAUAAGUUAGUGGUGAAAUGUGCGGGCUGAACUCGGGAACUGCCUUUAAUACUGGUGAUCGAGAGAGUAGAUGCGGUAGGCGGAAUGUAUGGUGUAGCGGUGAAAUGCUUAGAGAUCAUAAAGAACCCCGAUUGCGAAGGCAGCUUACCAAUCUAUAUCUGACGUUGAGGCACGAAAGCGUGGGGAUCAAACAGGAUUAGAUACCCGGGUAGUC
RNAcentral lists this ribosomal RNA (460 nucleotides) under uncultured bacterium. RNAcentral's name for it is "partial 16S ribosomal RNA". It matches the Rfam family "Bacterial small subunit ribosomal RNA", at positions 338 to 795 of the family's 1533-position model. The record is from RNAcentral.